Molecule: ribosomal RNA, 698 nt
Filed under: uncultured Planctomycetota bacterium
Lineage: Bacteria; Pseudomonadati; Planctomycetota
Description: bacterial SSU rRNA
Rfam family: Bacterial small subunit ribosomal RNA
Source: RNAcentral
CGGCGCAGGGAGAGUAACGCGUGGAUACCUGCCCUCGGCUCCAGAAUAGCUACGGGAAACUGUAGGUAAUGCUGGAUAAUAUCUCCGGAUCAAGGUGUGAUUCCGGCCGAGGAUGAGUCCGCGUCCUAUUAGAUUGUUGGUGGGGUAAUGGCCUACCAAGUCGAAGAUGGGUACCGGGUGUGAGAGCAUGGCCCGGCUCACUGGGACUGAGACACUGCCCAGACGUCUACGGACGGCUGCAGUCGAGAAUCUUCCGCAAUGGGCGCAAGCCUGACGGAGCGACGCCGCGUGCGGGAUGAAGGCCUUCGGGUUGUAAACCGCUGUCAGUUGGGAGGAAAUGCUAUGGGGUUCUCUCCAUAGUUUGACCGAUCUUCAGAGGAAGUACGGGCUAAGUACGUGCCAGCAGCCGCGGUAACACGUACCGUACGAACGUUAUUCGGAAUCACUGGGCUUAAAGAGUCCGUAGGCGGCUAUGUAGGUCAGGUGUGAAAUCCCACGGCUCAACCGUGGAACUGCGCUUGAAACCAUAUGGCUAGAGGGAGAUAGAGGAAAGCGGAACUGAUGGUGGAGCGGUGAAAUGCGUUGAUACCAUCAGGAACACCGGUGGCGAAAGCGGCUUUCUGGGUCUCUUCUGACGCUGAGGGACGAAAGCUAGGGGAGCGAACGGGAUUAGAUACCCCGGUAGUCCUAGCUGUAAA